This 518-nucleotide ribosomal RNA is filed under the name uncultured Lactobacillus sp. Its description in RNAcentral is "bacterial SSU rRNA". It matches the Rfam family "Bacterial small subunit ribosomal RNA", at positions 58 to 524 of the family's 1533-position model. Lineage: Bacteria; Bacillati; Bacillota; Bacilli; Lactobacillales; Lactobacillaceae. The record is from RNAcentral.
CAAAGUCGAGCGAGCUUGCCUAGAUGAAAUUGGUGCUUGCACCAAAAUGAAACUAGAUACAAGCGAGCGGCGGACGGGUGAGUAACACGUGGGUAAACCUGCCCCAAGAGACUGGGGAUAACACCUGGAACAGAUGCUAAUACCGGAUAACAACACUAGACGCAUGUCUAGAGUUUAAAGAUGGUUCUGCUAUCACUCUUGGGAUGGACCUGCGGUGCAUUAGCUAGUUGGUAAGGGUAACGGGCUUUACCCAAGGCAAUGAUGCAUAGCCCGAGUUGAGAGACUGAUCGGGCCACAUUGGGACUGAGACACGGCCAAAACUCCUACGGGAGGCAGCAGUAGGGAAUCUUCCACAAUGGACGCAAGUCUGAUGGAGCAACGCCGCGUGAGUGAAGAAGGGUUUCGGCUCGUAAAGCUCUGUUGGUAGUGAAGAAAGAUAGAGGUAGUAACUGGCCUUUUAUUUGACGGUUAAUUACUUAGAAAGUCACGGCUAACUACGUGCCAGUAGCCGCGGUAAU